Non-coding RNA from Parelaphostrongylus tenuis, 73 nucleotides. The record is from the annotation of a GenBank genome assembly. NCBI's taxonomy places the organism in Eukaryota, Metazoa, Nematoda, Chromadorea, Rhabditida, Metastrongylidae.
ACCUCGGUGGUGCAGUGGUAGAGCUCGAGUACUCGGACACGAUGAAACGCGGGUUCGAAUCCCACCUUAGGCC